GAAAUGCGAUAAGUAAUGUGAAUUGCAGAAUUCAGUGAAUCAUCGAAUCUUUGAACGCACCUUGCGCUCCUUGGUAUUCCUUGGAGCAUGCCUGUUUGAGUAUCAUGAAAUCUUCAAAGUAAAUCUUUUGUUAACUCAAUUGGCUUCUACUUUGGUAUUGGAGGUCUUUGCAGCUUCACACCUGCUCCUCUUUGUUCAUUAGCUGGAUCUCAGUGUUAUGCUUGGUUCCACUCGGCGUGAUAAGUUAUCUAUCGCUGAGGACACUGUAAAAGGUGGCCAAGGUAAAUGCGGAUGAACCGCUUCUAAUAGUCCAUUGACUUGGACAAUACUUUUAUGAUCUGAUCUCAAAUCAGGUAGGACUACCCGCUGAACUUAAGC
RNAcentral lists this unclassified non-coding RNA (378 nucleotides) under plant metagenome. RNAcentral describes it as "partial contains 5.8S ribosomal RNA, internal transcribed spacer 2, and large subunit ribosomal RNA". The stretch from base 1 to 105 matches the Rfam family "5.8S ribosomal RNA", at positions 50 to 154 of the family's 154-position model. The record is from RNAcentral.